UACGAAGGGUGCAAACGUUGCUCGGAAUUAUUGGGCGUAAAGCGCGUGUAGGCGGCUCUGUAAGUCGGGUGUGAAAUCCCACGGCUCAACCGUGGAAGUGCACUCGAAACUACAGGGCUAGAGUCCUGGAGAGGAAGGUGGAAUGCUUGGUGUAGAGGUGAAAUUCGUAGAUAUCAAGCGGAACACCGGUGGCGAAGGCGGCCUUCUGGACAGCGACUGACGCUGAGACGCGAAAGCGUGGGGAGCAAACAGG
This 253-nucleotide ribosomal RNA is filed under the name uncultured bacterium. Its description in RNAcentral is "partial 16S ribosomal RNA". It matches the Rfam family "Bacterial small subunit ribosomal RNA", at positions 524 to 776 of the family's 1533-position model. The record is from RNAcentral.